This 372-nucleotide ribosomal RNA is filed under the name uncultured bacterium. RNAcentral's name for it is "bacterial SSU rRNA". It matches the Rfam family "Bacterial small subunit ribosomal RNA", at positions 523 to 897 of the family's 1533-position model. The record is from RNAcentral.
AUACGGAGGACCCAAGCGUUAUCCGGAUUUAUUGGGUUUAAAGGGUGCGUAGGCGGAUGUAUAAGUCAGCGGUGAAAUAUUUAAGCUUAACUUUGAAGUUGCCGUUGAUACUGUACGGCUUGAGUGUAUUUGCUGUGGGUGGAAUUCGUGGUGUAGCGGUGAAAUACUUAGAUAUCACGCAGAACAUCGAUUGCGAAGGCAGCUCACAAAACUGUUAUUGACGCUGAUGCACGAAAGUGUGGGUAUCAAACAGGAUUAGAUACCCUGGUAGUCCACACUGUAAACGAUGAAAACUCGCUGUCGGCGAUAUACCGUAGGCGGCCAAGCGAAAGCGAUAAGUAAUCCACCUGGGGAGUACGCCGGCAAGGUUGA